UUAAAUUGCUGUGGUAUUUUGACUAUACAAAGGUAUUGAAAUAAGAUUUUAAUUGAAUGCUAAGAGAAUGGAAGUCCAGAAAAAAACUUUUUUUAAAUUAAAAAUUGAGGUUUUUUUAAUUUGUGCAGAAACAAUUAUUUAUAUUAAAGACAAGAAGACCUUAUGAAUUUAUUAAAUUUUUAUUUAAUAUGUAAUUACUAUUAGAAAAAUUUUGGCUGGGGCGGCUAGAAAAUAUUAUGAACUUUUUAAAAAUAAAAUGAUCCAUUAUUAAUGAUCUUAUGUUAAAUACUUUAGGGAAAACAGCGUUAUAUUUUUUGAUAGAUCAUAUUGACAAAAAAGUUUGCGACCUCGAUGUUGGAUUAGGAUACUUUUUUAAUGAAGAUAUUAAACGAAAGAAGUUUGUUCAACUUUUAAUUUCCUACUUGAUCUGAGUUCAGGCAAA
Molecule: ribosomal RNA, 442 nt
Filed under: Rhipicephalus sanguineus (brown dog tick)
Lineage: Eukaryota; Metazoa; Arthropoda; Arachnida; Ixodida; Ixodidae
Description: partial large subunit ribosomal RNA
Source: RNAcentral